UGGGGAAUUUUGGACAAUGGGGGAAACCCUGAUCCAGCCAUCCCGCGUGUGCGAUGAAGGCCUUCGGGUUGUAAAGCACUUUUGGCAGGAAAGAAACGUCAUGGGUUAAUACCCCGUGAAACUGACGGUACCUGCAGAAUAAGCACCGGCUAACUACGUGCCAGCAGCCGCGGUAAUACGUAGGGGGCAAGCGUUAAUCGGAAUUACUGGGCGUAAAGCGUGCGCAGGCGGUUCGGAAAGAAAGAUGUGAAAUCCCAGAGCUCAACUUUGGAACUGCAUUUUUAACUACCGGGCUAGAGUGUGUCAGAGGGAGGUGGAAUUCCGCGUGUAGCAGUGAAAUGCGUAGAUAUGCGGAGGAACACCGAUGGCGAAGGCAGCCUCCUGGGAUAACACUGACGCCCAUGCACGAAAGCGUGGGGAGCAAACAGG
RNAcentral lists this ribosomal RNA (429 nucleotides) under Acidobacteriota bacterium. RNAcentral's name for it is "Acidobacteria bacterium partial 16S ribosomal RNA". It matches the Rfam family "Bacterial small subunit ribosomal RNA", at positions 355 to 776 of the family's 1533-position model. The record is from RNAcentral. Lineage: Bacteria; Pseudomonadati; Acidobacteriota.